Molecule: ribosomal RNA, 21 nt
Filed under: Oreochromis mossambicus (Mozambique tilapia)
Lineage: Eukaryota; Metazoa; Chordata; Actinopteri; Cichliformes; Cichlidae
Also listed under: 21 other names
Source: RNAcentral
GCUUACGGCCAUACCAGCCUG